AUGCCCAGAGCUGUGCCAGCAGCCCGCCCCCAAGCUAUCCUAACGCCCAGGCCACCAGUCCCAUGGGGACAACGCCCAGCCAGGGCCUGGAGCCACCAGCAGUGCUGGGAGGAGGCUCUCUGCACACAGGACCUUUCCCCUCAGCACAGACCAGGCUGCUCUCCCGCCCCGCUCCAUGCUGGAGACCUGCCAGCUGCCCCCAGGUGGGACACAAAGGGGGACACGCAGCGCGUUGCUCACAGCCGGCCUCGUCGCUGCCGUCCGUGCAGUCAGCCUCUCCGUCACACCGCCAGGCCUUGGGGACGCACUCGUGGCCCCGGGAGCAGCCCCACUGCUGGUCACGGCACAGCCCUUCCUCCCUGGGACAGCCCUGCAGGAGCAGGGGUGCGAGCGGUGCCACCAGCCCCCUGGGAGUUGGGGCAGGGGGCUCCCCACCGCACACCCACCUCCUCAUCCGUGCCGUCCUCGCAGUCGGCGGCCCCGUCGCAGCGCCAGGCCUCCGGCACGCACUGCCUGCUGUGGGGACACGCCACCUCGCCCGCGCGGCACAGCAGGGGCCGCGGCACGGCACAGCCCUCCUCGUCCGAUCCGUCCCGGCAGUCUCGGUCCCCGUCGCAGCGCAGGGACACGGCCACACACUGCCCGCUGCGGCAGGGGAACUCGGCUGGGCUGCACUCCUUGGGCGCUCAGUGCUGCUCGUCAGCACGGUCCAGGCAGUCGGCGUGGCCGUCGCACAGCCAGCUCUCGGGGACGCAGCGGGUGGCAGCGUCGCAGCGCAGGGCGCAGUCCUGCGUGGGGCUCCAGCAGCCCGCCUCGUCCGAGGCGUCGGGGCACUGCGGCACCCCGUCGCAGCGCUCGCCAGCCCCGACGCACACGGCGCCGCUCACGCAGCGGAAGGCCCCUGGGGUGUCGCAGAGCUGGGCACAGCCGUCCUCAUCAGAGCCGUCCGCGCAGUCCUUCUCCCCGUCACACACGUACUCCUGGGCCACGCACUCGGUGCCGUCACGGCAGGGCACGUGUGUGCGAGGGCAGGAGAGACGGGGGACCGCGGUGAGGGGGCGUGCGGGGCUGGGCUGGGCGGGCGGGACGCUGGGCUCCACCCGUGCAGGGACGGUUGGGUGCUGCGUGGUUGUAGUUAGCCGUGGGGCGGCGGGCUUGGCUGGCACGGACCGAGCGGUGGUGGCGGUGCUCGUGGUGGCGGUGCUCGUGGUGGUCCUGGGCGGAGCGGUGUGGGUGGUGGCCGGCGCAGAGGUCGUGGUUGGGGUGGGCCGGCUGGUGGUGGUGGUGGCGGCUGGUGCAGGGGUGGUUGUGGUUGGCACAGACUGGCUGGUGGUGGUCGGCGCUGUGGUGGCGGGCACAGCAGUGGUCUUGCGUGGUGGAGGUCGUGUGGUGGAGGUGGGAAGCCAAGCGGACGUGGUGGUUGGGCCUGCCCUUGGAGCAGUGGUCGUGCUUGUCCUCGACGUAGUGGUCGCGGGUGGAUGGAGUGGCAGCGCAGGCCCUCUGGUUGUUGGCACUGGCGCAGGCACUGGAACACAAGCCCGGAUUUGGGGCUGCCCGCCCUCCAGGCACGUCCAGGAGCAACCCAGACGGCCCCCAGCACCCCGGCACUGCCCCGGCUUGGAACAGUGCGGGCCGCCCAGCCACACCAGGUACGACGCUAGGCACGGAGCCCCAGCCCCUCUUACCUGCAGGCAACUCCAAGUCCACGAAGGCCACCGCUCCCUGCACGCCUUCUGCUGGCACAGACAGCACGAGGGCCAGCGUCCUCCGGUCCCAGAGCAGCAGAGACGUCUUGUUAACGGACACCAGGUACGGCUCGAAGGCAGCCACGAGACCGUGGGGCCAGCUGGGUGCCAGGGUGACUGCUUGCCGUUUGGUCAGGCUCAGUGCCCUCAGGCCUGCAGGCAGAGGGAUGUUUUGGUCCUGGGGUUUGCCGGCACCCCUUGUGGCCCACCCUGUGCCCCCACAGCCCCCAGUUAAGGCAGGGACCCCGUGGCUGAGGACAGGAGCCCACCCACGGGACAAAGCCUGUCCCAAGAGCAUCUCACCGCCCAGGCAGGGACCUGCUGCACGUAGGGCACGGCUGGGCACUCCUGCCUCUACAGCAACCCCCUCUGCUCCAGAUUUCUCCAGGGCUCACCCAGGGCUGAGCUCCAGAGCAGGCUGAAGGCCCUGCUAUCCAUGGCCACGGGCAGCUCUCUGGGCCACGUCUCGUUCCAGGCAUCCCGCGGGUCGCCCCCAGCCAGGCUGAGCUGCUGCAGGGGCUGCCCACGAGCCAGCCAGUACAGAGCCCCCCGCUGCCAGUCCAAGAAGAGGUGCUGGAUGCUGCCGCGAGCACGGUGCAGGAUGUGCGGGGUCAUGUCGGGCGCCUGGGUCACCCCGAUGUCCCUCCGGUUACACGCCAGCCAGUACAGGUUCCCUGAGCGGAUGUCCACGCGGGCGGAGCAGACUUGGCAACAGCAGGCAGGCAAGCAAGCAGUUACGGGGCUGUCGCAUGGCCCAGCUCCUCCACCUGGGUCCCCCCUGUCCCUACAGCCAGGGGGCAGCUGACCGGUGCCUCAGCACAGCCCCAGCGCGGGCACCAAGGGACCGCUAAGCUCUGCAGCAGGAGAGCCUCACAUCUCCGGGAGCCCCGAGAAAGCAAGCGUGCCACCGCGGGGCUCCAGCACCCCACGGGAUCUCACCUGGCAGCCCGGUGACGAUGGUUUCUCUCCUCCCGGGGUGCCCCACGACACGCAGCAGCGUCCCCCUGUCAUCUGUCCCGUAGAGCACCGCCCUCUGCCAGUCCACGUCCUGCAGGUGGAGGGGCUCCCGCCACUCCUGCACUCGUCGGCUGCAUGGCCCGGGGCCCACCUGCACCAGGGAGAUGGCUGUCCCUGAGGAGUAGGCGAUGGACAGCUCUGCGGGGCACAAGGGCAGCGUGUGAGCGCGUCUCCAGGGGCGCUGGACGGGCACAGCCCAGGCAGCCUCUGCUGGCAAG
This is a long non-coding RNA of Anser cygnoides (Swan goose), 2980 nucleotides long. Lineage: Eukaryota; Metazoa; Chordata; Aves; Anseriformes; Anatidae. The record is from Ensembl.